RNAcentral lists this long non-coding RNA (2939 nucleotides) under Mus musculus (house mouse). Its description in RNAcentral is "long non-coding RNA chr2:67882542-67885481". The record is from RNAcentral. Lineage: Eukaryota; Metazoa; Chordata; Mammalia; Rodentia; Muridae.
UUCUCAAUAUAUGCUCUUCUAGAAACUUUAGUAAGGCUAUUCAUAUAGUUGAAUAGUUUCUCUAUAAUCAAUGUUUCUUCCUGCUCCUGGGUGGGUAGGUCUUAUCUACCAUCCAUUUUCUCCAAAACAUAGUGAAUGGAUACUUAAUGCCUGUGAUAGAGUCCUGAUAUUUCCAGAAGUAUACAUUCCUGGAGUUGUCUAUAAGUGGGCAUGAGGCAUCUUUCAGCCAGCGUUGUUUACCUGAGAUGGUUCACUAUACUUGGUCAGUUGUUCAGUAUUAUAUCCCUAGAUGAAUGGUCCAUAAUUUCUCUGAUUUCAAAUUAUUAAUUAUCUCUUUUACUUGUUACUAUAUUUAUUUAUUAGGUCAUAUAUUACAUCCAGAGCACAGUUUCCCCUCCCUCCUUAACCCUCUACUUCCCCCAUCCAUCCUUCACCUUCUCCUUCCCCAUCCACUCCUCCUCAGUUCCCUUCAGAACAAGGCAGGCUUUCCAAGGAUCUCGAACAACCAUGGGAUGUUUGCAUCAUUGUUGCAAGAAGAUUAGGCAGUCCCUUCAUAUUAAGGCUGGCUGAGGCAACCCAGGGUGAGGACAUGGGUCCCCUAAGCAGGCAUAGGCAUCAGAAACAGCCCUGCUCUCUCAUUAAGAGUCCCACAAAAAAACACCAAGCUAUACAACUGUAAUGUUUAUACAUAGAGCCAAAGACAGACCCAUGCAGGAACCCUGAUUGUUAUUUCAGUCUCUACGAGACCCUAUGGCCCAGGUUUGUUGCUGUUGUGGGUUUCCUUGUGGUGUCCUUGACCCUUUUGGCUCCUAAAAUCAUUCGUCCUCCUCUUCAGCAGGAUUCCCUGAACUCUGCCUAAUGUUUGGUUAUGGGUCUCUGCAUCUGUUUACAUCAGUUGCUGUCUUGAGUUAGGUACUGACCUAUGAGGAUAGCAGAAUACCAUUAGGCGUUAGGCAUCAUUUCACUGACUUCUUUUCUCUAGCUGUGUUUGGCUCUAUCCUAGGUCUCUGGGCAAUCCAGCCUCUGGUUUUUGAGCUUACAGUAAAAGUGAGGGAUGAGCUCCCUUUGGUGACAUGGGUCUCAGGCUGAACCUGUGAGUAGUUAGCCCCUUCCAGAACUUCUGUGCUGCCUUUACCCCAGCACAUCAUGCUGGCAGGACACAUUGUACGACGAAGGUUUAGGGGCUGGGUUGAUAUUCCAGUCUCUUUACUGGAAGUCUUGCCUGGUUAUAGGAGAAGGUCAGUUCAGGCUAGAUAAUGUCUACCUAGUAGAUUCCUGGAGACAACUGGAAUUGUGUGGCAAUUAAAGGGCAAGGUACAAACCAACUUGGAAUGGUAACUCCCAGGAAUCUUUGAGGGUACAAUAGAAACUCCCAGGAAUCUAUUAGGAACCCUAGCUAAUUGUCUUUUAAAAAUUACUUUUAACUAUGUGGAUGUGAGUACAGCAUUUUCCAAGGCCAAAGGUAUCAGAUUCCUGGAACUGUAGGUACAGAUGGUUGUGAGCCCCUGAUGUGGGUGCUGGCACUCAAACUCAGAUCAUCUGAAAGAGCAAGCAGUACAUGCUCUUACCAGCUGAGCCAUCCCUCCAGUCCAUACUGGUUGUCUUUUGUCAUGAGAUUUUAGCCUACAAAGAUAAAACACAAGACUGUAGAGCACUGAAUAUCUUAGAAAAUUCUUCAGGAACCACAGCCAAAGCUAGGCCACCAGGAACUGAGAGAGACUCUCCCACAGAAUCUCAGUUCUGUUCUAAUAACUAAGCAAGUGCUUGGACACAAGGAGUCAGAGACUACAUGAAGUAGCGGAGGAGUGCAGGUCUAAAGGUGAGACAGGACAGCAUACCAGCAUUUACCUGGGUCAAUGUAAUUUUUUAAGGUCUAGAAAGAAACAUUGUUCUAGAUUAUGAAAGUUAUAAAAUUUAAAAAAAAACUUGAUAUCCCAAAUUCAAUAGAUUGUGUUUAAUUAAGUAUAACAACAAGAACAAUCAAUUGAUAGCAAUUAGAAAACACUUAGAGAUGUUUCAGUAGUCAGUGGAUAUUUGUCUAUAUUUGAUAAUUAUUGCUAACUUCAUCAAGCAUGAAAAGGGCUGUGGAGGAUCAUGUUGGAUAGAUAUAUUGGUACUGAUGAAUACUGAGACAUUCCUGAACACAUUCAGUUUAUUGUGAAGUGACUCAUCAAGGGGGAGGGAGGUGAUGAAAGAAAAUCAGAAUAGAAUAAACAACUAAGACAAAAAUUUUGAAUUUUUCAUCCAGUUGAUUGUACUAUGGGUGCUCCAUUAUGCCAAGCUUUGUAUUUUAUUAUGCAUUUGAAAAUUCUCACAUAAAUAGUUUUUAUACUAUAUAUAUGUAUAUACACAUAUAUACAUAUAUAUGUGUGUGUGUAUACACAUAUAUAUGUAGAUAGAUAGAUAGAUAGAUAGAUAGAUAGAUAGAUAGAUAGAUAGAUAGAUAGGCAGAUAGACAGACAGACAGACAGACAGACAGCAUGUCCAAAAAACAGAGAAAAAUAAAACAAAAAAACUAGGAGUGGACAAAGCAAUCUCAUUGUGUGCCUUUCUCCCCCUUACAGUUUAAUUGCCUUUGUAAUUUUGGAUUGGUAAUCGGGAAAAUCUGAGUCCUGCCUGUUUUUUUUGUUUUUUGUUUUUUUGGUUUUUUUUUUCCUAGAAAGUAAGAUUAAGAGAACAAACAAAAGAAAUUUUACUUUUCAUGUUUUUUUUCAAUAUUACUUUAUUUAGUACAGAUUCAUAUGUAGUUCAGUUUUAUCUCUAAUGACUAUAUUAAAGCAUUAUACAAAAUUCUUUGAGUUAAUCAUGAUUAGCCUUUUACCCCCCAAAUUAUUUAUGUUUCUCUGAAGUAUAAGCAGCCCUGAAAUAUGAUAGGACAGAUACAUGGUCUGAAAGAAAUGACUUCAUACAAAAUGCCAUCUGGCUACAAUGAAUGUGCC